GGGGAUCAAGAGGUGCAUGUUACAUCUGUCUGCAGCAGGAGCAGAGCAAAGGUCUGAGCUCCAGCCUGGCUCCUCCUCCACUGGAUGAUGAGCUGCCAGUAAGUCAAAGGCUGGAGCAGGUGAAGGUCUGUCUCAGCCACCAAUCAGCUGGUGACAAAGGAAGAGUGGUUGUCACAUAUGACAUCAUCAAGGUGUACAAGACGUUCUGAGCUGUGGUAUCAGCUUGGAGGGAACCUGUGAAGACCUGAAGGUUGCAUGCUGGCUGCUGGACCCUAGCAGUGAGGAGAGGACACUUCCAAACAUGGUGACUGUCUAUUGUCCUGAAGAGUUACCCCUGCUGGA
Molecule: long non-coding RNA, 342 nt
Organism: Nematolebias whitei (Rio pearlfish)
Lineage: Eukaryota; Metazoa; Chordata; Actinopteri; Cyprinodontiformes; Rivulidae
Exons: 3
Source: RefSeq, a predicted model, not a curated record